CGGACGGGUGAGUAACGCGUGGGUAACCUGCCUCAUGCAGGGGGAUAACGGUUAGAAAUGACUGCUAAUACCGCAUAAGCGCACAGUACCGCAUGGUACGGUGUGAAAAACUCCGGUGGUAUGAGAUGGACCCGCGUCUGAUUAGCUAGUUGGUGGGGUAACGGCCCACCAAGGCGACGAUCAGUAGCCGACCUGAGAGGGUGACCGGCCACAUUGGGACUGAGACACGGCCCAG
RNAcentral lists this ribosomal RNA (235 nucleotides) under uncultured bacterium. Its description in RNAcentral is "partial 16S ribosomal RNA". It matches the Rfam family "Bacterial small subunit ribosomal RNA", at positions 99 to 334 of the family's 1533-position model. The record is from RNAcentral.